UGACAUGUUUGAUGUUCAAGAGAUGCGGCGUUAAUGUAUCGACCCAUCAUGCAUUGUUCCACAUUUCAAGUUCCUACGACCGGGACUUCCAGAGCGGGUGUAAGACCCAUAGAGAUGAGGAACCAGUGUAUGCUGAGCGAUGCAUUCUAGAGUCAGGUUGCUUGAGAGUGCAGCUUAAAGUCGGUGGUAAACUCCAUCCAAGACUAAAUAUUACAGCGAGACCGAUAGCAAACAAGUACCGUGAGGGAAAGUUGCAAAGCACUUUGAAGAGAGAGUUCAAAAGAACGUGAAACCACUGGGAGGCAAACAGAUGGAACCACGAAGUGUGCGCCUCGGUCGAUUCAAUCAUCACUUUUGAACAGUUGCGGUUAAUCAGGAUCUUUUCGAAGAUUGGUUUUCCGUAAUUUUGUUCAAAAGUGUUGGUGCAUUUCGUGCCUGGGAUGCAAAGCCACGUUCAACUAGAGUUGGGACGGCUGUAAGAAAGAAUCCAGGAAAGGUGACCGUCAAGUGCUUGCAUUUGACGGCGUUAUAGUCUUGGAUUGGCACCGUCACCUAACAUACUGGUUGAUAAAAUUUCUCCAUUUGGAGUUGAACCAUAUCUGCCUGUGAUUGUUAGUCGAUGUUGCGUAAUGUUCUUUGCGUAUCUUUCGAUGCGAAAAGACUUUACAAAAAUGUCGGCUAAUGGUUGCUUGCGUGAUAUGGUGGAACUGUGGUGUGAGUAGGUCGGUCUCCAUCUGACCCGUCUUGAAACACGGACCAAGGAGCCUAUCAUAUACGCGAGUCGCUCGGUCUUGUUUAGGCCUGGGAGGCGUAAUGAAAGUAAAGUUACGAGGCUUCGGCUACAGUAACGGCUCGCCCACUUUGUUUAUUGGCAAUAUGGCGAAGCUGGAGCGUAUACGAUGGUACCCGAAAGAUGGUGAACUAUGCCUGGGCAAGACGAAGCCAGAGGAAACUCUGGUGGAGGUCUGUAGCGAUUCUGACGUGCAAAUCGAUCGUCAGACCUGGGUAUAGGGGCGAAAGACUAAUCGAACCAUCUAGUAGCUGGUUCCCUCCGAAGUUUCCCUCAGGAUAGCAGGCAUUUAUUAAAUGCAGUCUCAUCCGGUAAAGCUAAUGAUUAGAGGUCUUGGGGUUGAAACGACCUCAACCUAUUCUCAAACUUUAAAUGGGUGAGAUGGUUGACUUUCUUGAUUGAAGCCAACCAUUUGGAUGCAAAUGCCUAGUGGGCCAUUUUUGGUAAGCAGAACUGGCGCUGUGGGAUGAACCAAACGUCGAGAUAAGGCAUCAAAUGCAUACGCUCAUCAGACCCCAUGAAAGG
Molecule: ribosomal RNA, 1315 nt
Filed under: Proctophyllodes stylifer
Lineage: Eukaryota; Metazoa; Arthropoda; Arachnida; Sarcoptiformes; Proctophyllodidae
Description: partial 28S ribosomal RNA
Rfam family: Eukaryotic large subunit ribosomal RNA
Source: RNAcentral